GGUUCGUGUUAUUUUUUGUGGGCCUAGUUUUUCUACAAUGAGUUCUGUAAGCGAAGGCCAAUCUUAAGUGCCACAACCCAGUAGUUGUGACUUGUAUUGUCCUAUUUUUCUGGACUGUGUUUUGCUCUACUGUUAGAUAGUGUUAAAAUGGAUUUCCAUACAUAUCAAGUACUUACACAUAAGAAAGUGAUGUAGGUAGUACUGAAGUAGGGUUCUGCAUCUGCCAAGAUGUAGCCAGGUACAGCCUAUCCAUCAUGAUAGAGACGCAUGAGAUACAUUUUAAAAAUUAUUUUCGGUAAUGGAUGAUACUUAAUAUGUCAUAAAAAUAAUUAGGUGCCCUCCGGUGUUCAAGCUUGAUGAAGCAGCACUUACACAAUCAUUCCCAGUGGUGGAUGUGAAGAACACAUGUUUUGGCUUUGCUGUUUGUACUUCUUUAGCUUUGCAACAUGGAGGAGCACGCUUGAGUGUCUGCUCCCUUCGACGGGGAAGACAGUGGCCUCAAUUAGGUUAACUCCCGCACCUCAUGUUGGGCCGGGCUGUACCUGGAUGUGUCUACAAUGUGUACACAAAUUUCCCACGGGCAAUGAUAUUUGUUUUAAUUGUUUAUUCACCCCAUACUCACGUAUAUGAGUGUUUGUGCUGGGUAUUAUGUAUUGGAUAUGGUUACAGCCAUCAAGGUCGUACUACCUUGAACUGACAAAAUUUAACCAACCUGAUGUUUAUCAUUUUUACCAGCUUCCACCACAAGUCCUCUUCACUGAUAAGUUCUAAAAUGGAAUCAUUCAAUCAAAGAUGUAACGUUCCUUGGAAAAGAUGGCAGGACCCCACCAUUUCCAUAAACAAACAAACUUAAUAUAUGUAUUACAUUACUUUAUUCGUAUGUUUUUAUAGCAACUGCUUGCUUACAUAAAAUGGCGAGUCUUCAUCGGAUAUAUUUAAAUCUUUGUUCAGGAUGCUGUUCAUAUGUUUAUAUAUUAACUAAAAGUUGCAUCUUUGUUGCCCGUUUGUUUGUGGUAUUUCUGUAGUGAGACCCUGAAAAGCCUGAGGAGAAGAAUUUUAUUGCACUUUGCAUCAACAUGUGAAUAAAACCUGAAAGCCACAUAGAAGUAAACCAUUUUCUUGAUUUACCUUGCAUGUUACUCCCUCUGUCCCAUAAUAUAAGAUGUUAUUACAACCGAUAGCGAGGGAGUGAUUUUGAGGAUUAAAGACAUUACACACUUCGGAUCAAGAUGCAAUUGCAUAUUGUUGGACCUUCCGUAUCCAUUACUUCAUGUGGAAUCAGGAAAAGGCUGUUAAUACUGACAGAACUGAUGUACAUUUAGAAUUCUCAGAAGCCUGUGAGAAUCGCUGAUGGCAUUUAUGCAAAACCUUCUUAAAUGCACACCAGAAAUCAGUUCUGUACUUAUAUUCUCAGAAGUCCGUUGGCGAAUUGCUUUGAUAUGUAAUUAGUUUUACUUUCUAAACAGAACUUUGAUCUGUUGGCAUUAUGUUCUCGUACUGACAUACUUUAGUUUUUCAUCACUUUAUUGUAGGUAUCUGAGCUGGAUGUUGAAGUUUGAUGAACUACUUAGACAACAAUAAUUUUGAUAGGUAGUUAGUUCGUCUAAGUUCUGUUUAGCUCAUCGCAAUCACGGAGUUUUACCCCUUUGGCGUGCAACAGCCAUCCUGCUGGUAAGGUGUUUCCUAGAGCACAAAACCUUCCUUCGCCAAUCGGAGUUCAACACAUGGUUUGUUCGAGAAAUUUGUUUACGUCAGUAUUUUGCUCACUGAGGAGAGCAUGUAUGGGUAAAUUUUGCAUUUUGUUAGUUUGUGAUACACUAAAAAAAAAGGUUCCGAAUUGGCAGUGCGCCCGUUUUCACAAACAUUGUAUUCCUAGAUUUCUAAAGUACUGCACCCCAUCUUCUCGUCUGGAACUGUUUUCUUCUCGCUGCUGGAGCUGGUACGAGCCCCGGUCGUACUGCACCCCAUCUUCCGUUCUGGAGCUACACGAUUUGGUGACAAAAAUUGCCCUCCCUCCUCGUGUUAAUUAGAUACUGUAUUUUUGCAAAAAAUAUACAAGGAGGUGUGCAGCAAAAUUGAGACAAUCGUUACGCUAUUUUUAUUUACCUUUCGAAGUAAUAAGUACUCACUUUCAAGCGAGAGAUGAUGCACUGAGCAUGGUGAACAUGUCUUCUCAUAUAUCUGCAACGAGAGGGUUAGAUUGUUACAAUUUCUCUAAAAUCUUACCUUGACUAUUGUUGUCGGUGAACACUUCAUAAUAUUCUUUUGAAAC
This 2272-nucleotide long non-coding RNA is filed under the name Triticum aestivum (bread wheat). RNAcentral's name for it is "long non-coding RNA (TAES_LNC022552)". The record is from RNAcentral. Lineage: Eukaryota; Viridiplantae; Streptophyta; Magnoliopsida; Poales; Poaceae.